Molecule: long non-coding RNA, 210 nt
Filed under: Mytilus galloprovincialis (Mediterranean mussel)
Lineage: Eukaryota; Metazoa; Mollusca; Bivalvia; Mytilida; Mytilidae
Source: RNAcentral
GCUGCUGAUCUCAUGUCAUAUGUUAGUGGUGUUUGAUUUAAACGUAUAAUUGUGAUUGCCUCGUUGCACCUUACUACUUUUUUUCGUUAAAAACAAAGUAAACAAAAACUUAAUGAUUUUAGCGAACAACCAUACAGUAUGGGAUUUUUUGUAUGGUGCUUACUAUCACUUCAUUGAAAAUCUGUUGUAUUGUGUAUCGUUGAAAAUCCU